AUGAGGAAAAUCAAUGUCGGCAAAUACUUGAUAUCGGCAUUGGUGGAGCGUUGGUGGCCCGAGACAAAUAGUUUUCACCUACCUGUAGGAGAAAUGACUAUUACGUUGCAAGAUGUCAGUUGUUGGUGGGGGUUGCCUAUCCAGGGUAAACCACUUGUUGGCAAAGCUGAUGCACAAUGGUCAGAAUUAGUUGAGAGGUUGUUUGGGAUUCCUGUGGAUGAACAACACAUGAAACAAAAAAAGGCGAAAAGGCGUUGA
RNAcentral lists this ribosomal RNA (258 nucleotides) under Triticum aestivum (bread wheat). Its description in RNAcentral is "partial small subunit ribosomal RNA". Lineage: Eukaryota; Viridiplantae; Streptophyta; Magnoliopsida; Poales; Poaceae. The record is from RNAcentral.